AACGAACGCUGGCGGCAGGCCUAGCACAUGCAAGUCGAGCGCGCCCUUCGGGGUGAGCGGCGGACGGGGGGGUAACGCGUGGGAAGUAACCCUUUUGUACGGAAUCGCCGCGUGAAACUGAGAGUAAUACCACAUACGCUCUUACGGGGUAGGAUUUCUCGGCACAGGAUCGGGCCUGGUUGGAUUAGGUGGUUGGGGGGGCAAUGGCCGACCAAGCCGACGAUCCAUAGCUGGUGUGAGAGGAUGGUCAGCCGCACUGGGACUGAGCCCCGGCCCAGACUCCUGCGGGAGGCAGCAGUGGGGAAUCUUAGACAAUGGGCGCAACCCUGAUCUGGCCCUGCCGCGUGAGUGAUGAAGGCCUUAGGGUUGGAAAGCUCUUUCAGCUGGGCAGAUAAUGCCGGUACCAGCAGAAGAAGCCCCGGCUAACUCCGUG
This 433-nucleotide ribosomal RNA is filed under the name uncultured bacterium. RNAcentral's name for it is "partial 16S ribosomal RNA". It matches the Rfam family "Bacterial small subunit ribosomal RNA", at positions 28 to 507 of the family's 1533-position model. The record is from RNAcentral.